Xyrichtys novacula (pearly razorfish) is the source of this 2238-nucleotide non-coding RNA. Lineage: Eukaryota; Metazoa; Chordata; Actinopteri; Labriformes; Labridae. The record is from the annotation of a GenBank genome assembly.
AUCUCAGUCCCUCUCGUUUUCUCCAAGGCAGGCCACCCUCCUGAGAAAUCAUCACCAUGACUAGCAGAAUGUCAGUUACGCGCUACAGCACCUCAGGAGGAGGUUUCGGUGGAUCCAUGGGUGGAGGAGGCUAUGGCGGCAUGGUGAAGCGCACAUACGCCGGAAGUGUCUAUGGUGGUGCAGGUGGCUCAGGGUCAAGAAUCUCCAUGGUCUCUGGUGGUGGUGCUGGUGGCUAUGGUUUUGGUCUUGGCGGUGGCGGUGGCGGUGGCGGCAGCAGCAGUUACAGCUACUCUGUAGGUGGUGGAGGAGGCUUUGGUGGAGCUGAUUCCCUGGACAUCUCAACCAAUGAGAAGGCCACCAUGCAGAACUUGAACGAUCGUCUGGCCAACUACCUGGAGAAGGUGCGCAGCCUUGAGAAGGCCAAUGCAGAGCUGGAGCUGAAGAUCCGCCAAUUCUUGGAGAGCAAAACCUCACCCACUGCCCGUGACUACUCUGCAUAUGAGGCCACCAUUGCUGACCUGCAGGGAAAGGUAUGCCACAUGACCUCUGAUUCUUAAAUGAAAUACCAUAAUAUCAGCAUUUGAGCUCACAAAACAGCUAUCAGAAGAAAAUGUCCCUCAUAAUACUUUAAAACUGUAAAAACUUGUGUGCUUGGGUUUUCAAUGUUGUUUAUUUCAUCACACAGAUCCAGGAUGCCACCCGUGUCAAUGGAGGCAUCUAUCUAGCUAUUGACAAUGCAAAACUGGCAGCAGACGACUUCCGAACCAAGUGAGUCUCAGGGUGAUAUACAGAAGAGCCAUCCACCAAAGAGAAAAUAAGUUACUGUUUAACACCUGAGUUGAGUUUAAAGUAAAAUAUCUGCUCUCCUCUAAGGUUUGAGAAUGAGCUUGCCAUGCGCCAGUCAGUGGAAGCAGACAUCGCCGGUCUGAAGAGAGUGCUGGAUGAGCUGACACUGGCCAGAUCAGAUCUGGAGAUGCAGAUCGAAGGCCUCAAGGAGGAGCUGAUCUUCCUCAGAAAGAACCACGAGGAGGUGAGUAUUACAUGUUUGGUAGAUCUGUCUGGAUUUGCUUUGAAGAAAUCAGCAAACAUCCUUAUUUCACAAAACUGCUCUUAAUUUACAGGAAAUGGCAGCCAUGAGGACCCAGAUGACUGGACAGAUCAACGUCGAGGUGGAUGCAAAACCACAGCCAGACCUGAACGCUAUUAUUGCUGAGAUCCGUGAGCAGUACGAGCAUUCAGCUGCAAAGAGCGGGAAAGAACUUGAAGCCUGGUUCCACUCGAAGGUAAAACCAAAAGCUGGGCUGUGGUGACUUCUCAUGCUGUACUUCAAAUCAUGUGGUUUUAUUUCACACUAAUGAUAUCUUUUUUUUCUACACCAGACGGAAGAGCUCACUAAGGAGGUGGCAGCCAGCACAGAAGGUAUUCAAACAUCCAAAACAGAAAUAACUGAGCUCCGUCGAACACUCCAAGGCUUGGAGAUCGAGCUGCAGUCACAGCUCAGCAUGGUAAUCUUCUUCUUCUUCGUCUUCUUCUUCUUCUUCUGCACUGUUACAUGCACUACCUCCACCACAAAGAAAAACUUGGAUGCACACCUUUGCAUCCAUUUUUUUUAGGAAACGGAUUCUUUAUCACUCUUCUUUUUAACUUUCUUUCCCCAGAAAGCGUCCCUGGAAGGCACAUUAGCUGACACACAGGCCCGAUAUUCCAUGCAGCUCUCAGGCCUCCAAAUGCAGGUGACCAGCCUAGAAGAACAGCUAUCUAACUUGCGCGUUGACAUUGAACGCCAGAGCCAAGAAUACAGUAUGCUGCUCGAUAUCAAGACACGGCUGGAGAUGGAGAUUGCAGAGUACAGACGCCUGUUGGACGGAGAGGGAAGGUAAUAUAUAUUUGCAAAGAACACUUCUGUCUUUUCAUCACCAAAUUAUGACUCUCUGUAAAACUGAAGCCCCUCACUAAUUUUUCAUGCACCCACUUUAAUCUCCCCCACCCCACCCCACCCCACAGUAUGGCUAGCGGGACCGGCAGCAGCGGUUCAAGGAGCACCAACACGAGGGUGGUUGUGGUCACAGAGGAGCUGAAGGAUGGCAGAGUGGUGUCCUCCUCCACCACCUCCACUUAAGCUGCCUCGCACAGCAAAACUUGAAGCAACUUCUGAGAGCCUUAAGCACAACAUCUGAACCUAAACGUUUUUUCACACACUUCUGUGAAUGCAAUAAAAGGCUGCAAGUUUGCUCCCUA